Chanos chanos (milkfish) is the source of this 546-nucleotide non-coding RNA. The record is from the annotation of a RefSeq genome assembly. Lineage: Eukaryota; Metazoa; Chordata; Actinopteri; Gonorynchiformes; Chanidae.
AUGCUAUGCCUGACAGCUUUGCACAUCAGGCACUGGAUCUCCCAGAAACCAGGGAAAGCAGUGGAGUUGACUGGGAAAAAAUGUAUUUAUCAAGCAGAAUCCCAGAAAAGCCAGCUCACCCUUACUGAGGAUGUCUCCACAAGCAAGGCUGCCAGUGUAGCAGCAGUAAAAAUUGAUGUUCUGCAGUAUGGAGUGAUCCUGGCUUUCAUUUCAAGUGUUUGUGGACAGUCACUGACCUCAUCUGAGUCUGUGGUGAAGAAUCCUGGACAGUCUGUCACUCUGUCCUGUACUGUUUCUGGAUUCUCUAUGAGCAGCUAUAACGUGCACUGGAUCCGUCAGAAACCAGGGAAAGGACUAGAGUGGAUUGGAUUCAUUGACACUGGCACUGGUACAGCAUAUGCCCAGUCUCUCCAGGGCCAGUUCUCCAUCACCAAAUACACCAGCAAAAACAUUCUGCAUUUAGAGGUGAAAAGCCUUAAAGCUGAAGACACAGCUGUUUAUUACUGUGCUAGAGACUCACAGUCACACAAAGAGCUACAGUGCUGA